AGGUCCAUUCUAAUUCCCUGCAGGUCGGUGCCAGUACCUGCUGGGUUUCGCUUGUGGACCACAUUAAACCGGGAGACGUCUAUGAGCUUCCUGGUGGUCUGCUCAUAACGUGGUUUUCUGGACAUGA
Molecule: small nucleolar RNA, 127 nt
Organism: Nothoprocta perdicaria
Lineage: Eukaryota; Metazoa; Chordata; Aves; Tinamiformes; Tinamidae
Source: Ensembl